This 202-nucleotide long non-coding RNA is filed under the name Ananas comosus (pineapple). RNAcentral's name for it is "long non-coding RNA (ACOM_LNC039620)". Lineage: Eukaryota; Viridiplantae; Streptophyta; Magnoliopsida; Poales; Bromeliaceae. The record is from RNAcentral.
AAGUACUACACAAGCAGCACAAGAGAGAGUUCUAUCUAUUACAUUGCAUUCAACCAUCUUACAUGUUUCUAUUCAUUUACAUCAUUGAUUUACUUCUUGCAUCAAAUAGAUACAUUACUCAUCUCGUAAUACAUGUACAUCAUAAGCGACCUCACCCAAAAUACAUAAAGUCUCUCUCUCUACCAAUGUACAUCCACAUAAC